Oncorhynchus tshawytscha (Chinook salmon) is the source of this 352-nucleotide long non-coding RNA. The record is from Ensembl. Lineage: Eukaryota; Metazoa; Chordata; Actinopteri; Salmoniformes; Salmonidae.
AGGCGAGGCGAGUAGAAUAGACAGGCGAGUAGAAUAGACAGGCGAGUAGAAUAGACAGGCGAGGCGAGUAGAGUAGAGUAGAAUAGACAGGCGAGGCGAGUAGAACAGAGUAGAGUAGACAAGACAGACAGUAGAGUAGACAAGACAGACAGGUGAGUAGACAGACAGGUGAGUAGACAAGACAGACGAGGUGAGGUGAGUAGACAAGACAGACGAGGUGAGGUGAGUAGACAGACGAGGUGAGUAGAGUAGACAGACGAGGUGAGUAGAGUAGACAGACGAGGUGAGUAGAGUAGACAGACGAGGUGAGUAGAGUAGACAGACGAGGUGAGUAGAGUAGACAGACGAGGUG